CUCUCGUUUAUGGGCAAAGAGCAAAGCAUUGUGGGCCUGUUCGGGUAGCCGUUGAGAGUGGAGAGUUGGUUCCACGUAUUGAAAGAUUUCGGAGUUGCACAAUCACGUAGAAGAAACCAAUUGAAGGGCCUGCCGAUGGGAAACACAGGAAGCAGGCUCAAUAAAACACCAAGCAAACAUCCUCACAAGACCAAAUGGAAGCUUAAGAUUCACGCAGACAGAGCAAUAAACGCCAGAUGAAGGCAAUAGCCUCAGGUGUAAAAACGGAAGAAAGUUCAAACAACAAAACACCACGUGGGAGCCUCAAAGGAAGGAGGAAAGCUCAGACAGGUCCUAGAGAGUCCAAAUGGUGUUUUGAUUGAAUAACGUGUAAUCUGGGAAAUUCUGGAGUAAUUGCUUACUUGAAUUAUUUUGAUAAACAACUGAUCAAAGUA
Molecule: long non-coding RNA, 434 nt
Organism: Anolis carolinensis (green anole)
Lineage: Eukaryota; Metazoa; Chordata; Lepidosauria; Squamata; Anolidae
Exons: 2
Source: RefSeq, a predicted model, not a curated record